AAGGAGCACUUCUUGACUGCCGGCCCUCGGGCUUGGUGGUCCAGAGGCCAGUUCAUCAGCGAACGUCUGAUGCUGGUUGCUCAUGGGUGGAACGUUGACUAUUCGGCACAGUGGAUUCGAUGGUUUUGCUAGUACUGCUUCGGCGUGGAACGCAAGGUCAUGGGUCGGCUGGGCCGAGCACGCUGUUGGGUGUCUGAGGGAGCGGCCAGUUUGGUCUGCUUCUUCGGUUGCCGGCCCCGGUAUAGGUCUGCUUCGGCGGGUUGUGACGGGUGGUUGGUCGUUG
RNAcentral lists this unclassified non-coding RNA (283 nucleotides) under Streptomyces sampsonii. RNAcentral's name for it is "partial 16S-23S ribosomal RNA intergenic spacer". Lineage: Bacteria; Bacillati; Actinomycetota; Actinomycetes; Kitasatosporales; Streptomycetaceae. The record is from RNAcentral.